CCUACGGGAGGCAGCAGUGAGGGAUAUUGGUCAAUGGGCUUACGCCUGAACCAGCCAAGUCGCGUGAGGGAAGACUGCCCUAUGGGUUGUAAACCUCUUUUGUCAGGGAGCAAUUGGCGCUACGUGUAGCGUUAUCGAGAGUACCUGAAGAAAAAGCAUCGGCUAACUCCGUGCCAGCAGCCGCGGUAAUACGGAGGAUGCGGGCGUUAUCCGGAGUUAUUGGGUUUAAAGGGUGCGUAGGCGGAAUGCCAAGUCAGCGGGAAAAUCGGGGGGCUCAACCUCGCUCCGCCUUUGAAACUGGCGGUCUUGAGUGAGCGAGAGGUAGGCGGAAUGCGUGGUGUAGCGGUGAAAUGCAUAGAUAUCACGAAGAACUCCGAUUGCGAAGGCAGCAUACCGGCGCCCAACUGACGCUGAAGCACGAAAGCGUGGGUAUCGAACAGGAUUAGAUACCCGGGUAGUC
This 460-nucleotide ribosomal RNA is filed under the name uncultured bacterium. RNAcentral describes it as "partial 16S ribosomal RNA". It matches the Rfam family "Bacterial small subunit ribosomal RNA", at positions 338 to 795 of the family's 1533-position model. The record is from RNAcentral.